UGCCAGCCGCCGCGGUAAGACGGAGGGUGCAAGCGUUGUUCGGAAUCAUUGGGCGUAAAGAGUGCGUAGGCGGCAUAGCAAGUCGGGUGUGAAAGCCCAGGGCUCAACCCUGGAACUGCGCCCGAAACUGCUAAGCUUGAGUCCGGGAGAGGGUGGCGGAAUUGUCGGUGUAGAGGUGAAAUUCGUAGAUAUCGGCAAGAACAUCUGUGGCGAAGGCGGCCACCUGGAUCGAGACUGACGCUGAGGCACGAAAGCGUGGGGAGCAAACAGGAUUAGAUA
RNAcentral lists this ribosomal RNA (279 nucleotides) under uncultured bacterium. RNAcentral's name for it is "partial 16S ribosomal RNA". It matches the Rfam family "Bacterial small subunit ribosomal RNA", at positions 506 to 784 of the family's 1533-position model. The record is from RNAcentral.